This 9919-nucleotide long non-coding RNA is filed under the name Citrus sinensis (sweet orange). RNAcentral describes it as "long non-coding RNA (CSIN_LNC002192)". Lineage: Eukaryota; Viridiplantae; Streptophyta; Magnoliopsida; Sapindales; Rutaceae. The record is from RNAcentral.
CAUAAUGGUAAGUUAAAGCAGAUAAUAAGCCGGGCCUCUAAUUUUUUCACCAAAUCUCCAAACCACUCGUUGACUCUGCAUCUGGACAAGCUAGUUAACCUCAAUCUAAACAAUUGCAAAAGCUUGAGAAUUCUUCCAGCUGGAAUAUUUCGUUUGGAAUUUCUUAAAGAACUUGAUCUUUGGGGUUGCUCAAAACUAAAAACGCUUCCAGAGAUCUCAUCAGCUGGUAAUAUAGAAGUGAUGUAUUUAAAUGGAACUGCAAUUGAAGAAUUGCCUUCAUCCAUAGAAUGUCUAUCUGGGCUUUCGGCCUUAUACCUUGAUCAUUGUAAAAGGCUGAAGAGUCUCCCAAGCAGCCUAUGUAAGUUGAAAUCUCUGAAUUCUAUUUAUCUCAGGUAGUGCUCAAGUCUUAAGAGUUUGCCCGAUGAACUUGGAAAUUUAGAAGCUUUGAACAGUUUGAAUGCUGAAGGAACUGCUAUAAGAGAAGUGCCGUUGUCCAUUGUUUGUUUGAACAAUUUUGAUGGCUUGCAAAAUCUAACGUCUUUAUAUCUAACUGAUUGCGGCAUCACGGAGUUACCUGAAAAUCUCGGUCAGUUAUCCUUAUUACUUGAAUUGUAUCUAGAGAAAAACAAUUUUGAGAGAAUACCAGAGAGCAUCAUACAUCUUUCUAAGUUGGCAUAUCUUAAAUUGAGUUAUUGUGAGAGGCUUCAAUCCUUACCAAAGCUUCCAUGCAAUCUAAGUGAGUUAGAUGCACAUCAUUGCACAGCACUGGAAUCAUCUCCAGGUUUAGUAUUCCCAAGUCGUGAUCCUCAGUAUUUUGAGCUAAGAAAUAAUUUGAAAUUGGAUCGCAACGAGAUCAGGGAAAUUCUCGAAGAUGCUCAGCAAGAAAUUCAGGUUAUGGCAAUAGCACGUUGGAAACAAUUACAGGAAAAGGUAUGUUGUGUCUUUUAUGAUCCUUUUAAUCUAUACAAUGUUAUUGAGUAAUGAUCUAGUGGGCGAUAGUGCUCAUCUUAUGGAGAGCGAGAGUGGCACAUCGCAUUGCUUAAUUAAUCCACAGCCUUAACGCUAUUCACUGGGAGUUGUAGAAUUCUGCCACAUAUCCAAAUGCUCAUCCAUAUGGUGGGCACUAGCGCUCACUAGAUCAUCGUUCCAAUGCUAUUUUGUUAAUUUUUUAUUUAAAAUUAAAUUUAACAACAUUUCUUCAAAAUUAUGAUCUUUGGUACAGGGAGAUUUUUUCCAAAGUUCAGGUCGAGUAUUAUUACCUGGGAAUGAAAUUCCAAAGUGGUUUAGCUUUCAAAGUUUGGGAUCUUCUUCUAUAACCUUGAAGAUGCCACCUGUAGGUUGGUUCAGUAAUAACAAAGUGAUUGGCUUUGCUUACAGCGCUGUUGUAGGAUUUCGAGACCAUCAUGUCAAAGAGAAGAGGUGGUUUAACUUGUUCUGUGAAUUCAUGAAAGCCAAACCUGAAGAUUGUACUGAGCUACUGGUCAGACGGAGUUCUCUAAGGGGAUUUAAUUAUGUAGAGUCAGAUCACUUACUUUUGGGGUACUAUUUCUUUGGUGAGCAUGAUUUUAGUGCUUUCCAGAAACACAACUGCGAUCAUGUGGCAGUCAAGUUCUAUUUAGAGGAUGAUCAUAAUCAACGUGAACGUUUGGAUUGUUGCCCGGUGAAAAAAUGUGGGAUUCAUUUAUUGUACGCCCCUGAUUCUACGGAACCCACAGAAGAUCCAAGGAGUACUCUCGGUUGAAGUAUUCUUUAAGGCAUCAUAGUAGCUGCUACUUUUCAGUAAAUUAAUAAAUCUUAUAUUCAUAAACCUUGUUUUGCUAGCUUGGUUUCUUUUCCUUCUAUCUGUUUUUAUUACUUUUCUUUAAUUCUUUUCUUCCCAUAUAUAAAUAAUUGGCUUCAAAUAUUCAUAGGGAGAUACUUGUUUUCCUUGAAUUGCCUCGUUGCAGUAUUGAACAACUUUCGGAGAGCGUCCAGGUGUGCAAUGUCAAUAAUAUUUAAUUAUCAUACACGCUACUGAUCUGCAUGUAAUGGCUUCUUUUUUGGUGAAAGCAGAAUAAUUCAUUGGUAACGCUUGAUUAAUCUCUGGUUAUAGUACUCAAUAGAUUUAGUGAGACAUUUCGUCAAACAGGUAGGUUGUAAAAAUUAUAUAGCCUAUGGUAAAAAAUUUGAAUUAGGAUAUAGAGAUACAAAGACAGGAAAAUUCUUUUGUAAUAAUUGUAAAGAUAAACAACAUGAAGACAAUACAAUAGAAAUUAGUGAACUAAUAAAUACAACCUAACCCGCACUCAUAAAAAUUAUAAAUUAUUAAACUCACCCAUAAUCGGCAGUGGGUUUUUUAUUUUUUUUAAAAAGUCCAUCUAUUGCUGGUUUUAGGGGUGGUAAAAAUACAUGUCUGAUCUAAACUCUGGCGAUGUGGACCGGAUAAUGCUAAGCUUGGGUAUGAAGCCAAACUUGUCUUGGGCAUCACUUUAUAAACUCAAGACUCGACCCAAAACUUAAAUUUUAUUAAAAAAGUCCAAAUCUCCAAACCACUCGUUGACCCUGCAUCUGGACAAGCUAGUUAACCUCAAUCUAAACAAUUGCAAAAGCUUGAGAAUUCUUCCAGCUGGAAUAUUUCGUUUGGAAUUUCUUAAAGAACUUGAUCUUUGGGGUUGCUCAAAACUAAAAACGCUUCCAGAGAUCUCAUCAGCUGGUAAUAUAGAAGUGAUGUAUUUAAAUGGAACUGCAAUUGAAGAAUUGCCUUCAUCCAUAGAAUGUCUAUCUGGGCUUUCGGCCUUAUACCUUGAUCAUUGUAAAAGGCUGAAGAGUCUCCCAAGCAGCCUAUGUAAAUUGAACUCUCUGAACUUUAUUUAUCUCAGGUGGUGCUCAAGUCUUAGGAGUUUGCCUGAUGAACUUGGAAAUUUAGAAGCUUUGGACAGUUUGAUUGCUGAAGGAACUGCUAUAAGAGAAGUGCCGUUGUCCAUUGUUUGUUUGAACAAUUUUGAUGGCUUGCAAAAUCUAACGUCUUUAUAUCUAACUGAUUGCGGCAUCACGGAGUUACCUGAAAAUCUCGGUCAGUUAUCCUUAUUACUUGAAUUGUAUCUAGAGAAAAACAAUUUUGAGAGAAUACCAGAGAGCAUCAUACAUCUUUCUAAGUUGGCAUAUCUUAAAUUGAGUUAUUGUGAGAGGCUUCAAUCCUUACCAAAGCUUCCAUGCAAUCUAAGUGAGUUAGAUGCACAUCAUUGCACAGCACUGGAAUCAUCUCCAGGUUUAGUAUUCCCAAGUCGUGAUCCUCAGUAUUUUGAGCUAAGAAAUAAUUUGAAAUUGGAUCGCAACGAGAUCAGGGAAAUUCUCGAAGAUGCUCAGCAAGAAAUUCAGGUUAUGGCAAUAGCACGUUGGAAACAAUUACAGGAAAAGGUAUGUUGUGUCUUUUAUGAUCCUUUUAAUCUAUACAAUGUUAUUGAGUAAUGAUCUAGUGGGCGAUAGUGCUCAUCUUAUGGAGAGCGAGAGUGGCACAUCGCAUUGCUUAAUUAAUCCACAGCCUUAACGCUAUUCACUGGGAGUUGUAGAAUUCUGCCACAUAUCCAAAUGCUCAUCCAUAUGGUGGGCACUAGCGCUCACUAGAUCAUCGUUCCAAUGCUAUUUUGUUAAUUUUUUAUUUAAAAUUAAAUUUAACAACAUUUCUUCAAAAUUAUGAUCUUUGGUACAGGGAGAUUUUUUCCAAAGUUCAGGUCGAGUAUUAUUACCUGGGAAUGAAAUUCCAAAGUGGUUUAGCUUUCAAAGUUUGGGAUCUUCUUCUAUAACCUUGAAGAUGCCACCUGUAGGUUGGUUCAGUAAUAACAAAGUGAUUGGCUUUGCUUACAGCGCUGUUGUAGGAUUUCGAGACCAUCAUGUCAAAGAGAAGAGGUGGUUUAACUUGUUCUGUGAAUUCAUGAAAGCCAAACCUGAAGAUUGUACUGAGCUACUGGUCAGACGGAGUUCUCUAAGGGGAUUUAAUUAUGUAGAGUCAGAUCACUUACUUUUGGGGUACUAUUUCUUUGGUGAGCAUGAUUUUAGUGCUUUCCAGAAACACAACUGCGAUCAUGUGGCAGUCAAGUUCUAUUUAGAGGAUGAUCAUAAUCAACGUGAACGUUUGGAUUGUUGCCCGGUGAAAAAAUGUGGGAUUCAUUUAUUGUACGCCCCUGAUUCUACGGAACCCACAGAAGAUCCAAGGAGUACUCUCGGUUGAAGUAUUCUUUAAGGCAUCAUAGUAGCUGCUACUUUUCAGUAAAUUAAUAAAUCUUAUAUUCAUAAACCUUGUUUUGCUAGCUUGGUUUCUUUUCCUUCUAUCUGUUUUUAUUACUUUUCUUUAAUUCUUUUCUUCCCAUAUAUAAAUAAUUGGCUUCAAAUAUUCAUAGGGAGAUACUUGUUUUCCUUGAAUUGCCUCGUUGCAGUAUUGAACAACUUUCGGAGAGCGUCCAGGUGUGCAAUGUCAAUAAUAUUUAAUUAUCAUACACGCUACUGAUCUGCAUGUAAUGGCUUCUUUUUUGGUGAAAGCAGAAUAAUUCAUUGGUAACGCUUGAUUAAUCUCUGGUUAUAGUACUCAAUAGAUUUAGUGAGACAUUUCGUCAAACAGGUAGGUUGUAAAAAUUAUAUAGCCUAUGGUAAAAAAUUUGAAUUAGGAUAUAGAGAUACAAAGACAGGAAAAUUCUUUUGUAAUAAUUGUAAAGAUAAACAACAUGAAGACAAUACAAUAGAAAUUAGUGAACUAAUAAAUACAACCUAACCCGCACUCAUAAAAAUUAUAAAUUAUUAAACUCACCCAUAAUCGGCAGUGGGUUUUUUAUUUUUUUUAAAAAGUCCAUCUAUUGCUGGUUUUAGGGGUGGUAAAAAUACAUGUCUGAUCUAAACUCUGGCGAUGUGGACCGGAUAAUGCUAAGCUUGGGUAUGAAGCCAAACUUGUCUUGGGCAUCACUUUAUAAACUCAAGACUCGACCCAAAACUUAAAUUUUAUUAAAAAAGUAUUAUAAAAUGUAUAUUAUUUUUAAUAUUUAUAUUUAUUUGACUGAUCUAUUACAUAUAGAUAAAAUUUUAAAUAUUUGAAGUUUAAAUUUUCAUGUUCGAUUUCAUUGAAAUAAAUUUAAAAAUUAUAAAAUUAUAAAAAAUUAUAAAAAUACAUAUAUAAUAAUAAAAAAAUACAAAAUACUGGGCACAAAAACCUGGAUUAAAAAACUUGGACUGGGUGUUUAAAAAUUACAUCAGGGCCAGGUCCAAGCAUUUCGAUACUUAGACCCGAACCUGAGAUUUAACAAUUAACAAACUAACCUAUAGCACCGAGUAAAUUUUUUUUAUAAGUUUUCUCAUUUAAAAUCAUAAAUAUAAAAAAAAAAUACUUUUAAUAAUACAUAAAAAAUUAAAUUAAGUGAUUCAAAUAUAAAUUUAUAACCCCUACAAAAUUCGUGUACAAAAUUCAAUUCUAAAUUUUACCAAUGAAAAUAAGAAAUUAAAAUUCCAACAUUAAAAAAAAAACAAAAUAUACUAAAUCUGACUUACAAAAUAAAAAAGAAAAACAAUAAAUAGCUGAUAGUAAUCUACUUUACAAAUUAUUAUCAUAUCCCAAAUCAAUUUUCUAAUCAUCAAAAUCUCUAAUCAAUUGAAUUGUUUCUGUUGUUAUGGCUUCUUCUUCUUCUUCUCGUCCAUCCAGCAGUUUGAGUUCGAUGAAUAAUCCUCGAAACAAUAAGUAUGAUGUUUUCCUGAGUUUCAGAGAAGAGGAAACCAGUGAUAGCUUUACUAGCCAUCUUUAUUCAGCCUUGUGUGAAACGAGUAUCGAAACUUUCAUUGAUGACCAACUCGUCAGAGGAAAUGAAAUCUCACAGUUUCUUCUUGAUGCAAUUGAAGCAUCAAGCAUAUCAGUUAUCGUAUUCUCUGAAGGGUAUGCUUCUUCCAGAUGGUGCCUCGAUGAACUUCUAAAGAUCCUCGAUUGCAGGAAAGAGUAUGCACAGAUUGUGAUACCAGUUUUCUAUCGGGUCGAUCCAUCACAUGUGAGAAAGCAAAUUGGGAGUUUUGGGGUUUCAAUUUCGGAGCUUGAAAAAAGAUUUCCAGACAAGAAACAAAGUUGGGGGAGUGCUUUAACUGAAGCAGCCAAUCUCUCUGGCUUUGAUUCUCAUGUCUUCAGGUAGCAGUCAAUUUAUUACCAAUUUUAUAAUUAUUUUUAUUUACUCAAGUUCUAGUAUUAUAUGAAUAAUUUUAAAAGCAAAAAAACUGUCUCAAAUCCGAACUAAUUAAAAACUCUCCUUUUUGUCUCUUUUUGAACUUAAUACUAUGUUUCUUGUAUUUGCUAGGAAUGAAUCUGAACUUAUAAAGACAGUUGUUGAUGAGAUUUUGGAGAGCCUGCCUAAAGUGGUUCCAUUUGAUAACAAAAAUCAGCUAGUUGGAGUAGAAUCAAGAGUUGAGGAAAUUGAAUCUCUAUUAGCUGCUGCACCUAUAUUAGGGAUUUGGGGCAUCGGUGGUGUAGGCAAGACAACAAUUUCUAGGGUGAUUUUCAACAAAAUCUCCAGAAAUUUUGAAGGUUCCUGCUUCCUUCAAAAUGUAAGAGAAGAAUCGCAGAGCCCUGGUGGAUUAGCUAGGUUGCAGCAAAAACUUUUUAAAGAAGUAUUGAAGGAUGUAAGCGUGAUUCCUGAUAUUGACUUCAACUUUAGAAGGCUCAGCCGCAGGAAGGUUCUGAUUGUUCUCGAUGAUGUGACUAGUUUCAGACAAAUAAAAUCCUUAAUCAGAGUUUCUGAUUGGUUUCUGCCUGAAAGUCGUCUCAUACUGACCACAAGAGAUCAACAAGUCCUUAAAAAUUGGGUUGUGAAAGAGAGAGACAUUUAUGAGAUGAAAGAAUUAGAACACGAUCAUGCCCUUGAGCUUUUUAGUCGACAUGCCUUCAAACAAAACUGCCCUCCUGAAGUAGGUUAUAAGGAAUUGUCAGAGAUUGUAAUAAAUUAUGCUCAAGGUGUUCCUUUAGCACUGGAAAUUUUGGGUUGCUAUCUAUUUGGAAGGGAAAAGGAAGUUUGGGAAAGCGCAAUAAACAAAUUGAAAAGAAUUCCUAAUUUGGAGAUACAAAAUGUGCUAAAAGUAAGUUUCGAUGAUCUGGAUGAUGAAGAGAAAGAUAUUUUUCUAGACAUUGUUUGUUUCUUUAAAGGGAAAGAUAAAGACUUCAUUAUAAAAUUUCUUAAUGCUUGUGGCUUUGAUGCACAAAUAGGAAUAAGUGAUCUUGUCAAUAAGUCUCUUAUUGUCAUACACGACAACAAAAUAACAAUGCAUGAUCUGUUACAAGAAAUGGGUAGGGAAAUUGUCAGGCAAGAAUCUGUGAAAAAUCCAGGAGAACGCAGUCGGCUGUGGCACCAUGAGGAUAUUAUUGAAGUUUUGACCUUUAAUACGGUAAGCAUUUUGUUUGAGACUUUAUAUUAUUUGUGAAUGCUAUUGGAUUUGUAAACUUUACUUAUAAUUAUGUAUAAGUACAUGGGACAUAAGAUCAAUAGAAGAACUGGCAAUAAUAAAAAGGAAAAAAAAAUAUUGCAAUGUCAAUUUACAACUAAAAGUCUGGCAAACAGACAGAGAUACGUUACAAUGUCAAUUUACAUCUAAAAGUAUGGCAAAUUAACAAACAUAGAUACUUUAUAUGUUUAGUAUUGUUUGUAUUACUAUGUUUCUUUCGUACAUAGGCAUGUCCAUACUUCAUGGAUACUUUAUAUGCUUAGUAUUGUUUGUAUUACAAUGUUUCUUUUGUACGUUGGCUUUCAAUUAACUUGAACAUUAAUUUAAAUUUGAAUUUAACUUCCUGGUCUUUCAUUGAUUGUUAGGGGACCAAAAAAGUUGAGGGUAUCUGCUUUGAUAUGUCUAGAAUAAAAGAGAUCUAUCUGCAUCCAGAUACUUUCACAAAGAUGUGUAAAUUGAGAUUUUUGAAAUUCUAUAACUCUAAAGAUGAUGGAGAGAACAAAUGUAAGGUGUCUUAUUUGGUAGGACCUGGAUUUGCUGAAGUGAGGUAUCUUCACUGGUAUGGAUAUCCACUAAAAUCAUUGCCGUCAAAUAUUCAUCCAGAGAAACUUGUUUCAAUUGAAAUGCCUCAUGGUAAUAUUCAACAACUUUGGGAUGAUGUCGAGGUAUAUAAAAUCUUAAUAUUUAUGCAAUGUUUCAGUAAUAAUGUUUAAUUAUUUAUCGUACUUAAAUGCUAACAAUUUGUAUGUCUGGGCUUCUAAUUUUUUUGGAGCAGCAUAAUGGUAAGUUAAAGCAGAUAAUAAGCCGGGCCUGCAAUUUUUUCACCAAAUCUCCAAACCACUCGUUGACCCUGCAUCUGGACAAGCUAGUUAACCUCAAUCUAAACAAUUGCAAAAGCUUGAGAAUUCUUCCAGCUGGAAUAUUUCGUUUGGAAUUUCUUAAAGAACUUGAUCUUUGGGGCUGCUCAAAACUAAAAACGCUUCCAGAGAUAUCAUCAGCUGGUAAUAUAGAAGUGAUGUAUUUAAAUGGAACUGCAAUUGAAGAACUGCCUUCAUCCAUAGAAUGUCUAUCUCGGCUUUCGGCCUUAUACCUUGAUAAUUGUAAAAGGCUGAAGAGUCUCCCAAGCAGCCUAUGUAAAUUGAACUCUCUGAACUUUAUUUAUCUCAGGUGGUGCUCAAGUCUUAGGAGUUUGCCUGAUGAACUUGGAAAUUUAGAAGCUUUGGACAGUUUGAUUGCUGAAGGAACUGCUAUAAGAGAAGUGCCGUUGUCCAUUGUUGAGAUCAAUAGAAGAACUGGCAAUAAUAAAAAGGAAAAAAAAAUAUUGCAAUGUCAAUUUACAACUAAAAGUCUGGCAAACAGACAGAGAUACGUUACAAUGUCAAUUUACAUCUAAAAGUAUGGCAAAUUAACAAACAUAGAUACUUUAUAUGUUUAGUAUUGUUUGUAUUACUAUGUUUCUUUCGUACAUAGGCAUGUCCAUACUUCAUGGAUACUUUAUAUGCUUAGUAUUGUUUGUAUUACAAUGUUUCUUUUGUACGUUGGCUUUCAAUUAACUUGAACAUUAAUUUAAAUUUGAAUUUAACUUCCUGGUCUUUCAUUGAUUGUUAGGGGACCAAAAAAGUUGAGGGUAUCUGCUUUGAUAUGUCUAGAAUAAAAGAGAUCUAUCUGCAUCCAGAUACUUUCACAAAGAUGUGUAAAUUGAGAUUUUUGAAAUUCUAUAACUCUAAAGAUGAUGGAGAGAACAAAUGUAAGGUGUCUUAUUUGGUAGGACCUGGAUUUGCUGAAGUGAGGUAUCUUCACUGGUAUGGAUAUCCACUAAAAUCAUUGCCGUCAAAUAUUCAUCCAGAGAAACUUGUUUCAAUUGAAAUGCCUCAUGGUAAUAUUCAACAACUUUGGGAUGAUGUCGAGGUAUAUAAAAUCUUAAUAUUUAUGCAAUGUUUCAGUAAUAAUGUUUAAUUAUUUAUCGUACUUAAAUGCUAACAAUUUGUAUGUCUGGGCUUCUAAUUUUUUUGGAGCAGCAUAAUGGUAAGUUAAAGCAGAUAAUAAGCCGGGCCUGCAAUUUUUUCACCAAAUCUCCAAACCACUCGUUGACCCUGCAUCUGGACAAGCUAGUUAACCUCAAUCUAAACAAUUGCAAAAGCUUGAGAAUUCUUCCAGCUGGAAUAUUUCGUUUGGAAUUUCUUAAAGAACUUGAUCUUUGGGGCUGCUCAAAACUAAAAACGCUUCCAGAGAUAUCAUCAGCUGGUAAUAUAGAAGUGAUGUAUUUAAAUGGAACUGCAAUUGAAGAACUGCCUUCAUCCAUAGAAUGUCUAUCUCGGCUUUCGGCCUUAUACCUUGAUAAUUGUAAAAGGCUGAAGAGUCUCCCAAGCAGCCUAUGUAAAUUGAACUCUCUGAACUUUAUUUAUCUCAGGUGGUGCUCAAGUCUUAGGAGUUUGCCUGAUGAACUUGGAAAUUUAGAAGCUUUGGACAGUUUGAUUGCUGA